Molecule: long non-coding RNA, 535 nt
Organism: Xenopus laevis (African clawed frog)
Lineage: Eukaryota; Metazoa; Chordata; Amphibia; Anura; Pipidae
Exons: 2
Source: RefSeq, a predicted model, not a curated record
UCCUGGGAUAAGAUAUGGCUUAAUAAAUUAAGCAGGGAAUGUAAUUUUAUACUGCACUAGGCAAUAUUUUUCCCGAUGGCAAGUAAGCUUAAUUUUUGUCUUGAUAAACACUACAGGAGUUCUGAAGCCUGUCUGUCAUAAGGAUUGCUGGGAUAACAAUAACCACAGGUUUCUAAUAAACGGACAAUCCCAGAUAUAAUGAAAGAAAUCAACAUUCUGCUCUGAACAUUUUGGGCAAAAAGAAAUCUUCUGAGAGCUAUCACAGUUUUGGAACAAUAAGCCAUAACCUAAAUGAAUGAGCCGGAAAUGCUGGUCUCUCCAAGACUCAGAACAUAUAUUCUUUCUAAAAUUUUGGAAAGAGUGCAGAAGUUCCCUGGAAGAAACAUUAGUUCCCAAAAAUGAAGACCAUUUUUUGCUCGAGUUCUCUAGUGGAUCCAUAUCCUUGGAAACUGACUUUAAAAGAUGUAAUGAGAUCCAUGAAAUAUUAUUUAGUUUAAUAUCUUCAACCAACUGUAAUAAAGCCUUAUAAAACUGA